This is a long non-coding RNA of Nicotiana attenuata, 1554 nucleotides long. RefSeq lists it as uncharacterized. The transcript has 2 exons. The record is from RefSeq and is a predicted model, not a curated record. NCBI's taxonomy places the organism in Eukaryota, Viridiplantae, Streptophyta, Magnoliopsida, Solanales, Solanaceae.
UGCCCUCUCCCCCACAUUCCAUUCACACAAAAAAAGUUUGAAACUAUGAAGCAGAUUAUUGUUGCUCGAAGGGAAAAAAUUCACUUGUGGGAACGGGAAAAACUUCACAUCGGGGUACUCCACAAAAAGCCUAACAAGAAGAGGAAACGGCGAUCAAGUACGGAGGAGAAUGCAAAUAAUAAUAAUAAUAAUGAGUGCGAGCUACCUGCUGAUGUUAUAAGCUCUAUUUUUAUACGUUAAGGUGCGCAUCAAAGUCGUGGAAUGACUUUAUUACUAGUCCUCUCUUUGUUCAUUCUCACCUGGAAGUCUGGAACAAUCAACGGAAAAUGCCCAACUUCUUUUUCUGAAACCCAAUUACUCAGAAGUGCAACGGUUAAAUAGGUGCAGACUACAAUUUGUUUCAGUAGACAUGGAAGGAAAGGGAGAAACCAAUGAGGUAUACGCUGUCACUUUACCCCGUUUCCCGUAUCCCCAAUCUGGUUUCCAUGUGUCCGCUGGUUUAGUUUGCAUUUCAUUGCCUGAUUGCAUUUAUUUGUGCAAUCCUCUUAUGCAACAAUUAUGUAAAUUGCCAAAAUGUUCACCUUGUGUUUUAAGUGGAUGGACAAAUGUUGGGUUUGGAUUUCUUCACUCAACGAAGGAAUUCAAAGUGGUGCAUUUUUUCUAUACGAGUCUCGGAAAUCAUCCUUUUCCGUUUUAUACACAUUUACAAGUAAGAUGCGAGGUGUUUACGUUUUCCCUAAUAAAUGGGGUUGGUGGCAUUUCAAAUAUAUGGAAAGAAAUUGUUGAGAUGCCUCCAUGUUAUCCGUCCGGUCCAGGGCUGCUAGUGAAUGAAUGCUAUUACUGGUGGGCUAGACGAUUUGCUUCAGGCGCGCAUUUGAGUUUGAAAAUGACAAGUUCCUAAAUUCCCAAACUGAGUAUGAUGGAUUUGAAAGGAAUGCUUUGCUUGCCAGACGUGGCUCACUACCGCAAGAGUUCAAUUCUAGACCUGUGGAUACUUAAGGAUAAAGUAAGUUGCAUAUGGGCGAAGGAGUAUAGCAUCAAUUUGGUCAACUUUAGGCCCAGCUGGCAUACUAUUCCUAUCUUCAGGACGUGGAAAAGAAAUAAUAUUUAUACAUUUGGAUAAGGCCAUCUUCUAUGACCUAAAAAGAAAAUGUUUUAGAGCAGUGAAAAUCGGUUUUGGAAUUUGCCAAGACAACUCCGUGCUUUUUGCAUUGGGUUUUGGAAUUUACCGGAAAAGCUUGUUUUCAUUAGGAAGCACUUAGAUCCUUCCUAGUUAUAUCCCUUUAAGGAUAUUGCUCCGUAUCUUAUUGUGUAUGAAGCAUCAUCCGUAUUUUUCUCUUCUUUAGAAGAGAAAGAGUUUCGACAUGCUUGCUUAUGGGUAAUUUAAGUUUUGUUUGAGGGCAUAUUAGACUUUUGAGCUUAUCUGUAUACGUGGCUUUUCUAUAUCUACCCAACUACUACGUGUAGCGUUUACCUUAUUACAGAGGUGGGUUUUAUUCGAUUUGUGUACAUCACAAUUUACAGAGCUUCAGAUAUCUUCGUCUUCCUCAUCUC